GACGAACGCUGGCGGCGUGCUUAACACAUGCAAGUCGAACGGAAAGGCCCUGCUGUUGGGGGGUGCUCGAGUGGCGAACGGGUGAGUAACACGUGAGUAAGCUGCCCUUGACUUUGGGAUAACUUCAGGAAACUGGGGCUAAUACCGGAUAGGAGCUCAUGCUGCAUGGUGGGGGUUGGAAAGUUUCGGCGGUUGGGGAUGGACUCGCGGCUUAUCAGCUUGUUGGUGGGGUAGUGGCUUACCAAGGCUUUGACGGGUAGCCGGCCUGAGAGGGUGACCGGCCACAUUGGGACUGAGAUACGGCCCAGACUCCUACGGGAGGCAGCAGUGGGGAAUAUUGCACAAUGGGCGGAAGCCUGAUGCAGCAACGCCGCGUGCGGGAUGACGGCCUUCGGGUUGUAAACCGCUUUCGCCUGUGACGAAGCGUGAGUGACGGUAAUGGGUAAAGAAGCACCGGCUAACUACGUGCCAGCAGCCGCAGUAAUAC
RNAcentral lists this ribosomal RNA (487 nucleotides) under uncultured bacterium. RNAcentral's name for it is "bacterial SSU rRNA". It matches the Rfam family "Bacterial small subunit ribosomal RNA", at positions 28 to 526 of the family's 1533-position model. The record is from RNAcentral.